This 161-nucleotide ribosomal RNA is filed under the name Bacillus sp. 2003_FYM(1b). RNAcentral describes it as "partial 16S ribosomal RNA". It matches the Rfam family "Bacterial small subunit ribosomal RNA", at positions 355 to 507 of the family's 1533-position model. The record is from RNAcentral. RNAcentral also lists the same sequence under 2 other names. Lineage: Bacteria; Bacillati; Bacillota; Bacilli; Caryophanales; Bacillaceae.
UAGGGAAUCUUCCGCAAUGGACGAAAGUCUGACGGAGCAACGCCGCGUGAGUGAUGAAGGUUUUCGGAUCGUAAAGCUCUGUUGUUAGGGAAGAACAAGUACCGUUCGAAUAGGGCGGUACCUUGACGGUACCUAACCAGAAAGCCACGGCUAACUACGUG